CCGAGUUUCCGAAGGCUGCCCACAUUCCUGCCCUCUGCCUCCCGCGCCCUGACAACCCAGCCGAGUUCGCUCCAACUCCAGCGGCGCAAGGGUCCUACCUUGACUGAAAAGGAAGAAGCAGAGGAAGAGCAAGUCUAGCUGGAAAGGUUUCAUUCCUCAGCGCAGCGGGGAGGCCACAGCUUUCAACAUGGAAAGAUUUGGAAGGGCUUCUCCAAUGCCAUCCAUGAUUAAGGCAGGAUAUUUUGAGUGAUCACUUCCUACCCCCAAGAAAACAGGUGCAAGACAUGCCCCAAUGCCACCAGGGAUAGUGUGAAGCCUGUUAUGAUUUGUUGUUCUCAAGACUGGAAGCCGGAUGCAUGGUGAAGAAUAACAAUGCAUUGGGUCCACUGAAAGAAUACUAAGGGUAGAACAAGACAUUGGAAAAGACAUCUUGAUUCCCACAACCUUUGUUCCUUUGUGGUGUGGGUGCAGAUUGUGUCACUGUGGUGAUCUGGGUCCUGACACUGUCUUGGGGAGCCACAGUGACACAGGACAAGAAGGGCAAGAGCACACGGUGGCUCUCAGCAGUGUCCUUGGAGGGAAGGAAGAGUGGAUAGGUGGCAUUUCUGAGGAAUGGAGGCUUUGGAGAAGGAAGCUCUCUUUGAGACCUGCAAACAUGCAAGACUCUGACAAGUUACCUGAGGUUGGACCCAGUCCCCUGGCUCUUGUCCCACCUUCUUGCUUCAGCUCUGGGACAUUUGGUCCUGGUUUGAUGGUUAUUGGCAUAGAUGUUAAAGGCCUCUGGGGGAGGGAGAAGUAGAAAGCUUUUUCUGAGCUGAAAGUAAGUGUGGGUUUGGCCUAUUGAUCUGAGCACAAUAGACAGUUUUCAUAAUUUGACGCCUGUGUUGUCAGACACACAAAGGCAUUUGCUCAAGCAUGAGCACAGUAAAUACAAUUUGGGAGUGUGUGAGUGGCAGGAGAGAGCCAAGGAGAGGGCAGUGGGUGAAAAUUGAGGUUCAGCGUUAGAAAAACUAGCUCUCAAGGUUUGGAACACUUUAUGACUAUAGCUAAUGACAGUGCCUUGUGUACUGAUAAAUUGCUAAUAGAAUUGACUUCAUUUGUUUUCAGUACAAAAAAUUGAUAAGUAUGUGAUGUAACACAUAAGUUAAUUAGCUUA
Long non-coding RNA from Fukomys damarensis (Damara mole-rat), 1156 nucleotides. RefSeq lists it as uncharacterized. The transcript is spliced from 4 exons. The record is from RefSeq and is a predicted model, not a curated record. NCBI's taxonomy places the organism in Eukaryota, Metazoa, Chordata, Mammalia, Rodentia, Bathyergidae.